UAUCAUGUGGUUCAGAGAGGAGGGACUCAGUGUUCACAGACCUGACAUGAUCUAAUUCUGUCUGACAGAGACUGUGGUAGAAACUAUUCAUUCUGAUUCUUCUCAGAGUGUACACUUGUACAAUGGAUCUUUAUUCAAUUAUACUGCUCUGUGCCUCAGCAGCUGCUGUCUUUGGAAAUGUCAUCAAAACAAACAAAACUGAUGUUUUUUAUGAAGAGGGAUCAGAUAUUGUAUUGUCCUGUAGUCAAUCACCUGGAGCUUCGGAUAAUAUCUACUGGUACCGUCAGUAUGAAAGAUCAAAACCUGAAUUUCUUGUACUCACCUACAGUAAUUCAAAAGUACCUGCCGUGUCUGCUGUAGAUCCAAGAAUCUCUGUUAAACCUGAAAAAAAGGAACAAAUCCAUGCAGAUCUGAAGAUCUCCUCUGCUGCUGUAUCAGACUCUGCUCUGUACUACUGUGCUCUGCAGCCCACAGUGACAGGAAACACAUCGACUCUCUACAAAAACCUGUUACAAUGAGAGACAAGAGAAAAAAAAAGCAAGAAAUAAUACAAAUGAAUGUUAAAUUAUCUCAAAUGAUUCCCAUGUGUAAUACAGUAUAGUGAAUACUGUACAUUCACAUGAAGUUCCUGCUUGUUCCAAAUUCUGAUUACAUUUUAAACAAAUAAAAUAACUAGACUAUAAAUACCUAAUAUUUUUCAUAUUUUCAUCAGUCAAAAAUGAAAAUGAUAAAUGCGAAGACAUUAAGGAUUUAAGUCAUGCCUUUAUA
Molecule: non-coding RNA, 768 nt
Organism: Carassius carassius (crucian carp)
Lineage: Eukaryota; Metazoa; Chordata; Actinopteri; Cypriniformes; Cyprinidae
Source: the annotation of a RefSeq genome assembly